GUUGCUGUCUUCAUCCAGCGCAAGCAGAUCCUUCUUGAGCUUAACAAGGAGCGUUGGACAUGGACGCAAUGGCAAGCGGCAAGAAGUCGGAGCCCCGCAAGCUGGACUUUGGGUCCUCAACCCCAACUCGCCCAUCAUCUUCGAGAAGGCCGAGGGAUCGGCCCUCUUCC
Long non-coding RNA from Hyalella azteca, 170 nucleotides. RefSeq lists it as uncharacterized. NCBI's taxonomy places the organism in Eukaryota, Metazoa, Arthropoda, Malacostraca, Amphipoda, Hyalellidae. The transcript has 3 exons. The record is from RefSeq and is a predicted model, not a curated record.